This is a non-coding RNA of Oncorhynchus mykiss (rainbow trout), 1540 nucleotides long. Lineage: Eukaryota; Metazoa; Chordata; Actinopteri; Salmoniformes; Salmonidae. The record is from RefSeq and is a predicted model, not a curated record.
AAAUCCCUCCUCCAUGAAACCGAAAGAGACUCGCUCUCUGGUUGGCGGUACUUCCUUCCCUGGGUUAUAUGUUAAACGUGCUGUUGCCUUGUGCGAGCAGCUAGCUAGGUCAAUACGGGAAAGGGGGGGAGUGUGGAAAAGUAUUUGCAGCUGACUGAGGCCAACUGGGAAACGGUGUUCAUUCACUAGCUGAACGGGGGAGGCGGGUAGCUAACGUUAGCAUAGCUAGCUGCAUCAAUUUCAGAUUUUAAGAUGUCCCACUCGUCAUCACGUGGCUCCUCGCGCAACACUGACUGCAAGGUCUAUGUGGGUGACUUAGGCAACGGGGCUGCUAAGGGGGAGUUGGAGCGGGCGUUCAGCUACUAUGGACCUCUGCGCAGCGUCUGGGUGGCCAGGAACCCUCCUGGCUUUGCCUUCGUCGAGUACGAAGAUCCCAGAGAUGCUGAGGAUGCGACAAAGGGCAUGGAUGGCAAAGUGCUCUGUGGUUCUCGCAUAAGAGUGGAGUUGUCAACUGGCAUGUCUCGCAAGUCACGCUACGGCCGUCCCAGCCGUCGGCACUUCGACCCCAACGACCGCUGCUACCAAUGUGGCGAGAGUGGCCAUUAUGCAUAUGACUGCUCUCGCUUUAGCAAGAGGGGAGGAGGCCGUCGCCGCAGCAGGUCCCGCUCACGAUCUCGCUCAAGGUCCAGGGGAAGGCGUUACCGUUCACGCAGCCGAAGCAACGACCGUGACCGGCGUAAUAGAUCCCCAUCAUACUCAAAGCGCAGAAGCAGAUCUGGGUCCCCCGCACGUUCCAAGUCCAGAAGUCCAGUGUGCAGAUCCAGGACCCCAGUCCGUCGGUCCAGGACUCCAGUGCGCAGAUCAGUAAGUCGCUCCCGUUCUCGCUCCCAUUCCCGGUCAGUGUCCCACCCCAGGGCGCGGAGCGUCUCCAGAUCUCGCUCCAGGUCCCGCUCGGCCACGACCAGGAAGAAGAGGUAUUAAAUUUGAGGAUCUCCUCAUACCCCUACACCAGGGUUUCCCAAUCCCGGUCUUCGGGACCCCAAGCCGAUCCAGGUCUCCCAGCCAGAGGAAAAGCCCCAUACCCGAUGCUGACUGACCAUGGGGGUGAAACCGCUCCAUGCCCUGCUGUUCCCCUAUCCCCAUUUGCCUCAGGGCUUGAAGCCAUUUAACCCCUUUGUCCAUGUAUUUUGAUUUCUUUCUCCUGUCAUUUAGUUUAUUUAUCCCUUGGUGUUCAUCCUCUGGCUUUGGCAUUAUUAUUUCAUCUGUAUGUACAACAAAUUCCCGAACUGUACAUUUCAAUGGCUCUUUUUACAGUGGUGAUGUUUUUAGCUUUCUGUGCAUUUUGAAUUUGUUAGCCUUUGGCCAGUGUUAAUGGCAAUUUUUUUUCCUUUUCUGACAUAUUUGGCAAUAUAUCAGCUCCAGUCGAGUGCAUUGAAGUGUACUCAUAGCUGUACUAAAAGCAGAAUGAUUUAGGGUUUUAUUUCAUUUUCAAUGUAAAUGGCGGUAUCUUUUUAAUAAAAUGAAUCUUUACACUAGUAAU